CAUCAAAGCGGGAAACUCGCCUCAAGAGAGAUCUCCCGGGCAUUUAUGCCCCUUAAGGUCACAGAAAGACGAUCUGUUCGAUAGGCUGGAAAUGGAAGCAUGGCAACAUGCGCAGUUGACCAGUACUAAGCGACCGUGCGAUUUGACUUC
This 150-nucleotide ribosomal RNA is filed under the name SAR324 cluster bacterium. RNAcentral describes it as "partial 23S ribosomal RNA". It matches the Rfam family "Bacterial large subunit ribosomal RNA", at positions 2778 to 2925 of the family's 2925-position model. The record is from RNAcentral. Lineage: Bacteria; Deltaproteobacteria.